This is a long non-coding RNA of Dendronephthya gigantea, 1590 nucleotides long. RefSeq lists it as uncharacterized. The record is from RefSeq and is a predicted model, not a curated record. The transcript has 3 exons. NCBI's taxonomy places the organism in Eukaryota, Metazoa, Cnidaria, Anthozoa, Malacalcyonacea, Nephtheidae.
UUUGUAAAUGUCAUGCAGUACACAUUUACAUAUAUAAAUAUAAAUUUCUGUGCUCAUAACAGCAGCCGUAUUUCUCGAGGUAUAUUUCGCCAUGAGAACUGCACCGUACAGUACUUCACGCGGAAAGAUUUCGAAGUAUCAAAUUCUGUGGUUUUAGUUACAUGGGAUCCUCCAUAAACAGUUCUGGAAAGCGCCUGAAGUCAAAUUGAAGAUGGAUUCCACAAAUAGAUCGGACGUUUUUCUGGAUACAAUUGCGAAACAAUGUGGGGAUCUGCAUGCAUGAUGGAUGAAAACAAUUUUACCUGCGGUAAGCGACUUUUACCUUGCCCCUCCAAAGGCAGUGAAAAAGUUGAUGAGCAUGAAGAUUCUGAGAUUUCCCACGAGGGAGUUAUGGAGAGAUCCAAGAUAUAUUACCCACUAGACGUAUGGUGUAUACUGGCUAAAUACAUCGAACCCUUACAAAUUCAAACAUAUGCGUGCAUAUGUCGUUCAUCCUACCUGGCUAUAAAUUCAUCGACAUUUUGGAAUCAUCUUUAUAAACGUUAUAUCAAGGACACCGUACGUUUACCAAAAUGUUUAAUGCAAAAUUUUGGAGCAAAGCACAUCGGACUUAAAAUAUUUGUGAUACGAGCCCUUUUCCUCUUACACCCAAAUCUUAGCAGUCGAUUGAUGAAAGAGGAUUCGUUGGACAUUGACAAACUAUUGUUGCAACAGGUAAUUGGAUUACGUUGUUGCAACACUUGGUACAAAAUUGAAAGCUCAUUGGGCAGUUCACACGUUUACCUGUUUCGAUUUCAACUUAAAAGCGAUGGCAAGAAAGUGUCUGCGCCUAACCUUCCCGCCAUCAAUCAAGAUUAUUUAACUCGUAAUAAUGAAGAGAAUUAUGUUGUGCUACAAGUGAGAGUUCGAGAAUUUACACGUGUUCAUUUCAAAGCAAAUACCGUGCUACUAGAAGUAUCAGUAGAUACGGAUAAUGCACUUUUAACAAUGGAGUUUGGUUGUUCAGAUGUAGAUUGGAAUGUGGAAAACAAUCGAGAGAAUGUGGUUCUUAAUGCAGUUAGCGCCAUAAAACUGUUACGUUGGUGGCACCCAUCUUACCCACAUCGUAAUUAAAUUUUAAACCCGCAAAGAAAGAAAAUUAGUAUAUCACUCUGUUAAUUCUCCUUGUUCACAUUGCUUGUCGUUUCUUCUCGUCUUGUAAAAGAUCUUUUGAACGAAUGCAUAAGCCUAUUGGAAACAUGCACAAUGUAAAGCAUCAUGCUGAACAUUCUCUUCGUGUUAGCAGCAAUAAAUUCCUAGAAGCAAAUCAAACUACAUGGCGUAUGACAAGAAUACCAUAAUUGUAACAUGUCUUGUCAUACGUUUAUGUAGCAGUUUAUUUGCUUUUGUAUUAUUACAAUGCAAUUAUAAAAAAUUCUGGCCUCUGAUUGGUCCAACGACCUCGGAUUAUUACGCAAUAAUCAUCUAAGCGGUUUUUCAAAGGAGUUGUUUUUGCCAAAGUGACAGAUGAAGAAAUACGUUACUUUAUCAGAAAUGCUGAACCUGAAGAGGAAUGAAAAAAUUAUUUUCAAGACAAAAUACUACUUUGUA